Molecule: non-coding RNA, 112 nt
Organism: Acanthosepion pharaonis
Lineage: Eukaryota; Metazoa; Mollusca; Cephalopoda; Sepiida; Sepiidae
Source: the annotation of a GenBank genome assembly
UUACGGCCAUACAGCGUUGAAACACCUAUUACCACAUGAUCACCGAAGUUAAGCAACGUCGAGCCUGGUCAAUAUCUAGAUGGGUGACCACUUGGGAAUAUCUGGUGCUGUU